GGCGUAUGUUGCCCAGGCGGAGUUCGAAAGCCCGUUCAAGCGAUGAAGGCGUUCAUCGACCAGCACCGCGAAGUCUAUGGAGUCGUGCCGAUCUGCAAGGUGCUGCCGAUCGCUCCA
This 117-nucleotide non-coding RNA is filed under the name Methylococcus capsulatus. RNAcentral's name for it is "ALIL". It matches the Rfam family "ALIL pseudoknot". Lineage: Bacteria; Pseudomonadati; Pseudomonadota; Gammaproteobacteria; Methylococcales; Methylococcaceae. The record is from RNAcentral.